This 162-nucleotide small RNA is filed under the name Marmota monax (woodchuck). Lineage: Eukaryota; Metazoa; Chordata; Mammalia; Rodentia; Sciuridae. The record is from RNAcentral.
GUUUCUUACAUUGAUCCAAAAUCUGCAGCUUCCACCCAUUAUUUCUACUUCUAUUCUGUGAAGCCAUUCACAAAAAGCCUAAUAUAUUUUCCACAAAUAUUUGAAAUCAACUCUCAUAUCCUCCACUUUAUAACAUCUCUAGGCUGAAUGUCUUUAAUUCCA